GCACUCCUGAGGAGUUCCACAAUAGGACGAAACGGCCGUCCAGUGC
Molecule: non-coding RNA, 46 nt
Organism: Schistosoma curassoni
Lineage: Eukaryota; Metazoa; Platyhelminthes; Trematoda; Strigeidida; Schistosomatidae
Source: Rfam